Molecule: transfer RNA, 72 nt
Filed under: Stegodyphus mimosarum
Lineage: Eukaryota; Metazoa; Arthropoda; Arachnida; Araneae; Eresidae
Rfam family: tRNA
About the family: Transfer RNA (tRNA) molecules are approximately 80 nucleotides in length.
Source: Rfam by way of RNAcentral
GCUUCGUGGUGUAGAGGUAAGCACGCUGGGCGCGUAUUCCAGAGGUCCGUGGUUCGAGUCCCGGCGAAGGCG